Molecule: long non-coding RNA, 758 nt
Filed under: Anas platyrhynchos platyrhynchos (common mallard)
Lineage: Eukaryota; Metazoa; Chordata; Aves; Anseriformes; Anatidae
Description: lncRNA (ENSAPLG00000025960.1)
Source: RNAcentral
GGGGGGGUUGGGCGCGCGGCCGGCUCGCCGCGUGCCGGGCAGUUAGGCGCGGGGAGGCGGCCCGCCGCCAUCUUGGCCCCGGCGCCAUCUUGCGGGAGGGUCGCGGUGCCGCUGCUCCCUCCCGUUGGGGCCCCGCCGCCGGCUCCCACCCUUGUCCUUGCCAGGCGGGGCUGUGAGGCCGCUUUCCGCCCCGACAGCACCUCGCGGGGGGCAGCGGGCGGCCCCCGGCCUGAGACAAAGCCGCGAGGCGGCUGCCAAGGGAGGGGGCAGCGCUCGCUGACGGGACUCCGGUCCCCGGGCACCCAGAAAAUAGCGUGGGGCAGCGCCGGGGUGGAGGGGGAGUGGGCUCACCACAGCAGGCGCUCUGAGACAGAAAUUGCUGCCAGAAACCGCUGCAGUUUCUGUAUCUUCAAGAUCAGCCAUGGAGCCGUGGUGUUGUGACAUGGAGCAGUUAAAAUGAAAAACAGUGAAGAAAUGAAUCUGUGGAAUUGAACCCAGGGUCAUUACAUAGUGAUUGCUACUUCAGACCUUGCUCCCGCAAACACUAGGUGCGUAUCCAUUUGUACAGGAGAACAGUCUCAUUGAUCAACGGCCGUAUUGAAGUAUUUGUAGCACCAAGGUCCUAACUGGCACUAUGUGUUAAAAAUACAAUUUACGUACUUUUCGUACCAAAACUGUAGAUAGAGCAUUUACAGUUCAACUUUUCAAGGAAAGAGCACCUUGUCUAGGUUUUAAAUAAAGCAGAUCUAGAUAAUUCA